This 650-nucleotide long non-coding RNA is filed under the name Olea europaea subsp. europaea. The record is from RNAcentral. Lineage: Eukaryota; Viridiplantae; Streptophyta; Magnoliopsida; Lamiales; Oleaceae.
UUACUUGCACAAACCAUCUCUUCAACCCAUCUAUCUCCUAUCACAGGUAAAAUAAAAAAAGUUUAGCAACCAAACAUAUUGCAUGUCAAAGAUUUGGUUCAAAAGCAUGCAACAACUAAUUCACAUUCCACUUUGCUGAAGCCGAAACGUAUGAUUGGAUCAUACUGAUGCUGAAUAAUCAUUUUCACCAUUUUAAAUAUGUCACUAUCCUUGCCCGCUUUACCAACAACUAAUCUUUUCUGCCAUUUUUCGCUCUCUCCCUUAUUCUAUCACCUUCAAUGAUGGGAAAGGGCGCAUAUCCUCAUGACUUUCCUUUUUCAUCAACAGCUAAAUACAGACCAUUGCCUCUAGAAGAGAAGAUAUAGUGUUGAAGGGAUGUUGUUAGGUAAUCAGUAUAAACAAUAUAUCCUGGUUGUUGGUGAACCUGCAUUUUGGGAUACAACGUUCAUACCAUCAUGCAUGCUUGUAAAAUUUAAAUAAAACAGGUAUAAUUCAGAGGACUAUUAAUUUGACAAAUUGGUCAUAUUUUCAUUCUCCAAAAAAUUUAUCAUUGGCAAGGAUAUCUCAAUACUUUUUUCAAUGAGAAAGCAGUGUUGCUAACACGUAUUUGUGUUCACAAGUCACAUAAUUUAUCAAAUGCAAAAUGUAAG